Non-coding RNA from Mesoplodon densirostris (Blainville's beaked whale), 72 nucleotides. The record is from the annotation of a RefSeq genome assembly. NCBI's taxonomy places the organism in Eukaryota, Metazoa, Chordata, Mammalia, Artiodactyla, Ziphiidae.
GGGGAUAUAGCUCAGUGGUAGAGCACGUGCUUUGCGUGUAUGAGGUCCUGGGUUCGAUCCCUAGCAUUUCCA